GAAGUGGUGGUUCAGUGGUAGAACGCUCUCCUCUCAUUUGGAAGACCUGGGUUUGAUUCCUGGCCAAUUCA
RNAcentral lists this transfer RNA (71 nucleotides) under Loxodonta africana (African savanna elephant). It matches the Rfam family "tRNA". From Rfam's summary of the family: Transfer RNA (tRNA) molecules are approximately 80 nucleotides in length. Lineage: Eukaryota; Metazoa; Chordata; Mammalia; Proboscidea; Elephantidae. The record is from Rfam by way of RNAcentral.